UGGGGAAUCUUAGACAAUGGGGGAAACCCUGAUCUAGCCAUGCCGCGUGAUCGAUGAAGGCCUUAGGGUUGUAAAGAUCUUUCAGGUGGGAAGAUAAUGACUGUACCACCAGAAGAAGCCCCGGCUAACUCCGUGCCAGCAGCCGCGGUAAUACGGAGGGGGCUAGCGUUAUUCGGAAUUACUGGGCGUAAAGCGCACGUAGGCGGACUGGAAAGUCAGAGGUGAAAUCCCAGGGCUCAACCUUGGAACGUCCUUUGAAACUCUCAGUCUUGAGGUCGGGAGAGGUGAGUGGAAUUCCGAGUGUAGAGGUGAAAUUCGUAGAUAUUCGGAGGAACACCAGUGGCGAAGGCGGCUCACUGGCUCGAUACUGACGCUGAGGUGUGAAAGCGUGGGGAGCAAACA
Molecule: ribosomal RNA, 402 nt
Filed under: uncultured prokaryote
Description: bacterial SSU rRNA
Rfam family: Bacterial small subunit ribosomal RNA
Source: RNAcentral